CAGUAGCCACGGUAAUCCGAAGGGGGCUAGCGUUGUUCGGAUUUACUGGGCGUAAAGCGCACGUAGGCGGACUUUUAAGUCAGGGGUGAAAUCCCGGGGCUCAACCCCGGAACUGCCUUUGAUACUGGAAGUCUUGAGUAUGGUAGAGGUGAGUGGAAUUCCGAGUGUAGAGGUGAAAUUCGUAGAUAUUCGGAGGAACACCAGUGGUGAAGGCGGCUCACUGGGCCAUUACUGACGCUGAGGUGCGAAAGCGUGGGGAGCAAACAGGAUUAGAUACCCCUGUAGUCCCUGUCUCUUAUAA
Molecule: ribosomal RNA, 301 nt
Filed under: uncultured bacterium
Lineage: Bacteria
Description: partial 16S ribosomal RNA
Rfam family: Bacterial small subunit ribosomal RNA
Source: RNAcentral